CAUAAACAGCAGUUGGGGCUCAGGUACACAUUUGUCAGAAACUGUAACUGAACCUACUUAUUUAAAAAAGCAUAUGCUUCAGAGGUUUUUACAAAUGUCUACUUACUAUGAAAAAUCGCUGCGCAGGUGAUGCUGGAGUUGAUCUCAGACACCACUCCAGUUCAAGGUUGAAAUAAGGAAAUCCUUUUAAGGCCUAGAAGAAGGAGGAUUCAACAAGCACCUCGGCUGACAUUUUCCAUCCAUGCUGGAAGAAAGACAGGAGGGCCAUGGAUGUAGUCUUAUUAGGCUGCAACUAUAUUCACCUAUAAUAUCUGGGAAUAUUCAGCAACAAAUUGUUCAGUGCAGGGUGUUGGCUCCCUGCUGAUUCUGAUGUAGGAGCCCCUAAUUCCCCUUACUCAGCUCCUAUAAGGGAUGCUUUCCUUCAAACCUUUUUCCAAUCCAUUUUGUCUGAUAACUAUAGCCCUUCCCAGCUGAGUAUCUGCACUGGACAUCUGACACAAGUUUUAUGUAUAAUUUACAACAUUAUAACCUAACCCCCCUACUCCACCCCAUUGGGUCCUAGACCAGCUGUAGGGAAGGUGGGGGGAAAAAACAACAACAUCCCAGCUUGGCCAAUCUGGUGGCGAGGGAAGCCUCUCAAGGAACCGGGGCAGCUAGUGUAAUGUCCACAGCUGAUCACAAGGGAACCUGGUCCUUUUGCCAAGUGCAUGAAUGGGUGAGUGCUGCCAACUUAAUCCUUGUAUAGAGGGCCUCUCCAUGGCUGCAUGGGGUAUAAAUUGGGUUGACAACCCUCCUGUUUUUGCUGGGAGUUUUCCAGAAUCGGGCUCUAUCUCCCAGAGGCUACAGAAGCUAAACCGGGAGAUUUUAGGCCGCAAAAGUCUGGCGGUGCAGUGGGGCUAAGGCAGGCUCCCUGCCUGCACCAGCCCCGUGCUGCUCCCAGAAGCAGUUGGCAUGUACCUGUAGCCUUAGUCCCUCACCACCGACUGGGAGCUGCACGAGGUAAGCACUGCCCGCACUCCACACCCUCUCCUGCACCCCAACCCCCUGCCCCAGCCCUGAGCCCCUUCCUGCACCCAAACUCCCUCCCAGAGCCCACACCCAC
Molecule: long non-coding RNA, 1102 nt
Organism: Mauremys reevesii (Reeves's turtle)
Lineage: Eukaryota; Metazoa; Chordata; Testudines; Geoemydidae
Exons: 3
Source: RefSeq, a predicted model, not a curated record